CCAGACUCCUACGGGAGGCAGCAGUGGGGACUCUUGCACAAUGGUCUCCCGCCUGAUGCCGCCCUGCCGCGUGUCUGCAGAAGGCCUUCGGGUUGUAAAGUCCUUUCAGCGGGGAGGCAGGCGAUAAGGUUACUAACCUUGUUGCUUGACGUUACCCGCAGAAGAAGCACCGGCUAACUCCGUGCCAGCAGCCGCGGUAAUACGGAGGGUGCAAGCGUUAAUCGGAAUUACUGGGCGGAAAGCGCACGCAGGCGGUCUGUCAAGUCGGAUGUGAAAGCCCCGGGCUCAGCCUGGGAACUGCAUGCGAAACUGGCAGGCUGGAGGCGGGUAGAGGGGGGGAGAAUUCCAGGGGGAGCGGUGAAAUGCGGAGAGAUCUGGAGGAAGACCGGUGGCGAAGGCGGCCCCCGGGACAAAGACUGACGCUAAGGUGCGAAAGCGUGGGGAGCAAACAGGAGUAGAUACCCUCGUAA
This 470-nucleotide ribosomal RNA is filed under the name uncultured bacterium. RNAcentral describes it as "bacterial SSU rRNA". It matches the Rfam family "Bacterial small subunit ribosomal RNA", at positions 331 to 793 of the family's 1533-position model. The record is from RNAcentral.